This 532-nucleotide ribosomal RNA is filed under the name Alternaria longipes. RNAcentral describes it as "eukaryotic LSU rRNA". The stretch from base 157 to 310 matches the Rfam family "5.8S ribosomal RNA". Lineage: Eukaryota; Fungi; Ascomycota; Dothideomycetes; Pleosporales; Pleosporaceae. The record is from RNAcentral.
UGAGGCGGGCUGGAACCUCUCGGGGUUACAGCCUUGCUGAAUUAUUCACCCUUGUCUUUUGCGUACUUCUUGUUUCCUUGGUGGGUUCGCCCACCACUAGGACAAACAUAAACCUUUUGUAAUUGCAAUCAGCGUCAGUAACAAAUUAAUAAUUACAACUUUCAACAACGGAUCUCUUGGUUCUGGCAUCGAUGAAGAACGCAGCGAAAUGCGAUAAGUAGUGUGAAUUGCAGAAUUCAGUGAAUCAUCGAAUCUUUGAACGCACAUUGCGCCCUUUGGUAUUCCAAAGGGCAUGCCUGUUCGAGCGUCAUUUGUACCCUCAAGCUUUGCUUGGUGUUGGGCGUCUUGUCUCUAGCUUUGCUGGAGACUCGCCUUAAAGUAAUUGGCAGCCGGCCUACUGGUUUCGGAGCGCAGCACAAGUCGCACUCUCUAUCAGCAAAGGUCUAGCAUCCAUUAAGCCUUUUCCCCCACUUUUGACCUCGGAUCAGGUAGGGAUACCCGCUGAACUUAAGCAUAUCAAUAAGCGGAGGAA